Molecule: ribosomal RNA, 257 nt
Filed under: Salmonella enterica subsp. enterica serovar Muenchen
Lineage: Bacteria; Pseudomonadati; Pseudomonadota; Gammaproteobacteria; Enterobacterales; Enterobacteriaceae
Also listed under: 9 other names
Description: partial 16S ribosomal RNA
Rfam family: Bacterial small subunit ribosomal RNA
Source: RNAcentral
AAAUUGAAGAGUUUGAUCAUGGCUCAGAUUGAACGCUGGCGGCAGGCCUAACACAUGCAAGUCGAACGGUAACAGGAAGCAGCUUGCUGCUUCGCUGACGAGUGGCGGACGGGUGAGUAAUGUCUGGGAAACUGCCUGAUGGAGGGGGAUAACUACUGGAAACGGUGGCUAAUACCGCAUAACGUCGCAAGACCAAAGAGGGGGACCUUCGGGCCUCUUGCCAUCAGAUGUGCCCAGAUGGGAUUAGCUUGUUGGUG